RNAcentral lists this non-coding RNA (30 nucleotides) under Mus musculus (house mouse). The record is from RNAcentral. Lineage: Eukaryota; Metazoa; Chordata; Mammalia; Rodentia; Muridae.
UGACAUUAGGGCGCCUCUGAGAUUGCAAUA